GACGAACGCUGGCGGCGUGCCUAAUACAUGCAAGUUGAGCGCUGAAGGUUGGUACUUGUACCAACUGGAUGAGCAGCGAACGGGUGAGUAACGCGUGGGGAAUCUGCCUUUGAGCGGGGGACAACAUUUGGAAACGAAUGCUAAUACCGCAUAAAAACUUUAAACACAAGUUUUAAGUUUGAAAGAUGCAAUUGCAUCACUCAAAGAUGAUCCCGCGUUGUAUUAGCUAGUUGGUGAGGUAAAGGCUCACCAAGGCGAUGAUACAUAGCCGACCUGAGAGGGUGAUCGGCCACAUUGGGACUGAGACACGGCCCAAACUCCUACGGGAGGCAGCAGUAGGGAAUCUUCGGCAAUGGACGAAAGUCUGACCGAGCAACGCCGCGUGAGGGAAGAAGGUUGUCGGAUCGUAAAACUCGGUUGGUAGAGAAGAACGUUGGUGAGAGUGGAAAGCUCAUCAAGUGACGGUAACUACCCAGAAAGGGACGGCUAACUACGUG
This 497-nucleotide ribosomal RNA is filed under the name uncultured bacterium. RNAcentral describes it as "partial 16S ribosomal RNA". It matches the Rfam family "Bacterial small subunit ribosomal RNA", at positions 28 to 507 of the family's 1533-position model. The record is from RNAcentral.